ACUUUUACAGAUUUCUUCGGAAUGAAGUUUUAGCGACUGAGUGGCGGACGGGUGAGUAACGCGUGGGUAACCUGCCUUACAGAGGGGGAUAACGUCUGGAAACGGACGCUAAUACCGCAUGACAUAUAGUUACCGCAUGGUAAAGAUAUCAAAGGAGCAAUCCGCUGUAAGAUGGACUCGCGUCCGAUUAGCUAGUUGGAGGGGUAACGGCCCACCAAGGCGACGAUCGGUAGCCGGACUGAGAGGUCGAACGGCCACAUUGGGACUGAGACACGGCCCAGACUCC
This 286-nucleotide ribosomal RNA is filed under the name uncultured Eubacteriales bacterium. Its description in RNAcentral is "uncultured Clostridiales bacterium partial 16S ribosomal RNA". The stretch from base 46 to 286 matches the Rfam family "Bacterial small subunit ribosomal RNA", at positions 100 to 339 of the family's 1533-position model. Lineage: Bacteria; Bacillati; Bacillota; Clostridia; Eubacteriales. The record is from RNAcentral.